Molecule: ribosomal RNA, 253 nt
Filed under: uncultured bacterium
Lineage: Bacteria
Description: partial 16S ribosomal RNA
Rfam family: Bacterial small subunit ribosomal RNA
Source: RNAcentral
UACGAAGGGGGCUAGCGUUGCUCGGAAUCACUGGGCGUAAAGGGUGCGUAGGCGGGUCUUUAAGUCAGAGGUGAAAUCCUGGAGCUCAACUCCAGAACUGCCUUUGAUACUGAAGAUCUUGAGUUCGGGAGAGGUGAGUGGAACUGCGAGUGUAGAGGUGAAAUUCGUAGAUAUUCGCAAGAACACCGAUGGCGAAGGCGGCGUUCUGGACUGCAACUGACACUGAGGAACGAAAGCCAGGGGAGCAAACGGG